CUGUAACAAUUUUAAAAUAAAAGCCAGCAUACUGGUGGAAAAAAAAAAUCCAACAACAACAAGAAUAAACCACAACAAAGCAUAUAUUUUCAAUAUUUCCACUGUAUAAACCCAAUCCAUGGAUCAUGCAAAAGAGAUAAGUCUCUUGGAAAUGACAGUAAUUUGGUGACAGUAAGCAAGUCAGUAACCAGACUUAAAAAGAGUUACUCACUGUUUCCUCCAUCACCAAAGGCACCUGCUAAGUCCAAGUCAGCCCCUAAAGGAGGGAAACGGUCUGUUACUUCUCAAGUUCUGAGAAAUGAGGAAGGAAUGACUUCAGAAACAGAUGGAGAAAUCACCAGAGACCCACAUGACUAAAGACUUUUCUGAGUAUCACACUGACCAGGAUGUCAUUUGAAAAAACAAAUUCCUGACCAUUUUUACAUCAUUUUUCCUUCAGAGGACAAGAGUAAGAGAUGAGAGCAAGAGAGAGAGGGAGAGAGAAAUAACGUCAUUUGUAAAUCAAUUGUGCUGCCUAGACCGAACUGGGACUCCGCAUCUGCUUGCACACAACUCCCUCUGAUGGACUCCCCAUUAUCUCCUCUCAGGUCUGCAACACCUGACCUGGUAAGCAGACCGUAAGAGAAAUCAACAGAAAAAGAGUGGACACGAAAAUGGAUUCACAGUCACAAAAACAAGGAAAAAACACUUUAGAAACCCACUGACGGAAUCAGUAAGAGAAAGAGACAAAACUAAUCUCAAAGAAAAAGCUCAGGCCAGGUGCAGUGGCUCACACCUGUAAUCCCAGCACUUUGAGAGGCUGAGGUGGGCGGAUCACCUGAGGUCAGGGGUUCAAGACCAGCCCGGCUAACAUGGCGAAAUCCCGUCUCUACUCAAAAUACAAGAAUUUGCCGAGCAUUGUGGUGCGUAUCUAUCUGUAAUCCUAGCUACUUGGGAGGCUGAGGCACGAGAAUCGCUUGAAUCCAGGAAACGGAGGCUGCAGUGAGGUAAGAUCAUGCCACUUGAGACUCUGUCUCAAAAAACAAAAAAAAAAAAAAAAAAGAAAAAGCUCAACAUUGAAAACGCAUUACCAUUCCUUGAAUCAACCUAUGAUUAUCAACAAUUCAAAUGAAAUUGAAAAGAAGGUUUUACUUCUCCCAAGAGAAGAGACAAGAGCAAAAGGAUUCCCAAUUUAAAUGGAAAAUAAAAAGUUACAGGAAGCAGGAUACCCACACAAACGUAAGACACCAUUAAAAAAAAUAAACAUACUGCUUGUAAAACAUUCCUGUUAAAAAUAUUCAAAGGCAAAAAUAAAGUGCAAAACCAUUUUC
Rhinopithecus roxellana (golden snub-nosed monkey) is the source of this 1310-nucleotide long non-coding RNA. RefSeq lists it as uncharacterized. NCBI's taxonomy places the organism in Eukaryota, Metazoa, Chordata, Mammalia, Primates, Cercopithecidae. The transcript has 2 exons. The record is from RefSeq and is a predicted model, not a curated record.